ACCAGGCUGGAGUGCAGUGGCGUGAUCUCGGCUCACUGUAACCUCUGCCUCCCGGGUUCAAGCGAUUCUUCUGCCUCAGCCUCCUGAGUAGCUGGGACUACAGGCGUGUGCCACCAUGCCCAGCUAAUUUUUGUAUUUUUAGUAGAGACAGAGUUUCACCGUAUUGGCCAGGCUGGUCUUGAACUCCUGACCUUGUGAUCCACCCGCCUCGGCCUCCCAAAGUGCUGGGAUUACAGGCAUGAGCCACCACACCCAGCCUAUUUUAUUUUUUGAGACAGUGUCUCGCUCUGUCAUCCAGGCUGGAAUGCAAUGGUGUGAUCUCAGCUCACUGCGACAUCGACAUCCUCCUCCGGGGUUCAAGGGAUUCUCGUGCCUCAGCCUCCGGAGUAGCUGGGAUUUCAGGCAUGUGCCAACACAUCCAGGUUAUCAGUUUAAAUGCUGUCUUCUCAAAGAGGCCUCUCUUGAUCACCCAGUCUAAAAUAGCACCCCCACAAAGACCAGCUACCUGAUUUGCACAACCCGGUACAAAAUGAAGAUGUGAGGGAUCUUGUAAGAAAAGGAAGAUAAAAAUGAUAUGAAAGAUUAAUAAGGAAGAACUGAAAAGAAAGGAAACUACUCUGUCCCGUCUUUACCUUUCCUUUUACUGACAUGGUUUGGCUCUGUGUGCCCACCCAAAUCUCACCUUGUUUGUGAUAAUCCCCAUGCAUCAAAGGACAGGACCAGGUGGAGAUAGUUGAAUUGCAGGGGCAGUUUCCACCAUGCUGUUCUGAUAGUGAGUGAGUUCUCAUGAGAUCUGAUGGUUCUGUAAGGGGCUUAUCCCUUCACUUGGCACUCAUUCUCUCUCUUGCUACCCUGUGAUGAGGUGCCUUCCACCAUGAUUUUAAGUUUCCUGAGGCCUCACCAACCAUGCAAACCUGUGAGUCAAACCUCUUUCCUUUGUAAACUACCCAGUCUUUGGUAUUUCUUGAUAGCAGCAUAAUAAGGGACUAAUACAUUACAUCAUCACUUUUGGAGUUAAUGGCUGGCUGCUACAAGAAUUAAUGAAAGAAGAAAAGAAUAAGACUGGGUUCUUUGGUCAUCUUUCAGAAUGUCAUUGCCUUCUUUUUGCAUUGGAAGUGUUAAAGUAAACUAUGGCCUGAGAAGGACUCUGUACUUCUAUAUUUGAGUCCUUGUGGAUGAACUGUAACCUAGCUUAAUAGACAAAAUUGAAAACCUAACUUGGUAGCAUGUACCUGUAAUAAUAGCUGAGUGUUGGCCAAUCCCAGCAGCCAUACUUCAACCACUCAUAGACUGCAGAAUGUGCAAACUGCAUUCAAAUAAGGCAAACACCGAGUAGUAACCCAUUUCACUGUUUCUGUACCUCACUUCCGAUCCCUGUACAUCACUUUACCUUUUUUGUCUAUAAAUUUGUUCUGAACACGAGGCACCCCUGGAGUCUCUAUUAAUCUGCUGUGAUUCUGGGGGCUGCUCGAUUCGCAAAUUGUUCAAUGCCCAAUUAAACUCCUUUAAAUUUAAUUCGGCUGAAGUUUUUCUUUCAUCAGAAGCAAGUUCUGGUUUGAGAGAAGCAUGGCUUCUAAACAUAUCAGCAUUCCUGCUUCCUCCGUGGAAGACAUAGAACAUUUAUCUCACACUGGCUUUGAAUCUCACUGAAUUCUCCAGGGUGGUG
This 1666-nucleotide long non-coding RNA is filed under the name Homo sapiens (human). Its description in RNAcentral is "HSALNT0187783". The record is from RNAcentral. Lineage: Eukaryota; Metazoa; Chordata; Mammalia; Primates; Hominidae.